GACUGCGUCACCGUGAACAUGGCGGAGGCUACGAUCAUACCACAACACCGUUUUUUCUGUCACUGCUGUAAAAGUGAAACAAACCCCAAACUCCCGGAUUGUGCAGGAGUUCUCGGCCUCUUUGCCGGCAGCAGGAGCCACGUUGCUGCACACUGCGCUUUUUGAUUUCUCGAUUGAGAUCCCCCCCCCCCAACUCUCGCCCUUUUGCUCUUUUUCUGUUUGUCUCAUGUAUACGAGUGCACUUAAACCCGGGGGAUUAUGCAUGGGGUCACGAAGGUCGGGACUCUGUCAUCACAGAGCAUGGUGCCGAAAAAGCCUCAACGGUGUAGACAGGAGCAUCGAGCUGACAUCAGAACCUCCAGAAGCUCGCUCCAUGAGGACAGAGCAUCAGGAGAGGCUCGGGAUCCAAGAAACAGGCCUAGAAACUAUACCUCCUUAACUGUCUUCAAGAGACCUUUCUCCUGACACGCCUUUCCCGUCACAUUGACUGCUUUUAAAUAAAGUACAUGACA
Pungitius pungitius (ninespine stickleback) is the source of this 512-nucleotide long non-coding RNA. RefSeq lists it as uncharacterized. The transcript is spliced from 3 exons. Lineage: Eukaryota; Metazoa; Chordata; Actinopteri; Perciformes; Gasterosteidae. The record is from RefSeq and is a predicted model, not a curated record.